AUACGUAGGGGGCAAGCGUUAUCCGGAAUCACUGGGCGUAAAGGGUGCUAGGGGGGUGGCUUAUCAAGCCAGGGGUGAAAGGCAUUGGCUCAACCAAUGUAAGCCUUUGGAACUGAUAGGCUUGAGUGCAGGAGAGGUAAGUGGAAUUCCUAGUGUAGAGGUGAAAUUCGUAGAUAUUAGGAGGAACACCAGUGGCGAAGGCGACUUACUGGACUGUAACUGACACUGAGGCACGAAAGCGUGGGUAGC
RNAcentral lists this ribosomal RNA (249 nucleotides) under uncultured bacterium. RNAcentral's name for it is "partial 16S ribosomal RNA". It matches the Rfam family "Bacterial small subunit ribosomal RNA", at positions 523 to 769 of the family's 1533-position model. The record is from RNAcentral.